RNAcentral lists this non-coding RNA (27 nucleotides) under Homo sapiens (human). Lineage: Eukaryota; Metazoa; Chordata; Mammalia; Primates; Hominidae. The record is from RNAcentral.
UGGGCUAAAAUAAAGGGAUGGGUUGGG